Long non-coding RNA from Bubalus bubalis (water buffalo), 611 nucleotides. RefSeq lists it as uncharacterized. The transcript is spliced from 3 exons. The record is from RefSeq and is a predicted model, not a curated record. Lineage: Eukaryota; Metazoa; Chordata; Mammalia; Artiodactyla; Bovidae.
CCGCGUCUCCUAUGUCUCCUGCAUUGGCAGGCGGAUUCUUUUCCGCUGAAACACCAGCUUUGUGGCCCCAAACGUCUGUAUUUCCAGGUUGAGUAACUCUGUGCUAGAUGGUCAAACCAAACUUCUUUUAAAAUAGGAUCCUUUGUGAUUUUCAGCACAGACAUUUGUUUGGGAAGAGCUCUUUGAAGGAGAAGAUGGCAUGUUAUAAGUCGGUGUUCUUGUCUUCUAUCACCAGGCACUUUGUCUGAAUGAAGGUGGAGAUGUCCACAGAGGUUUGCAGUCACUCCUCAGGGAGGUGAGCACGCCCGUUCCACAGAGCCUGCUCACAACUGCCAACAGACUGUUUGGGAAAAGACAUGUGAUUUCCUGCCAAAGCUAAAAUGUUUGAGGACAGGAGAUGGGCAAAGGAUGGGAGCCAAUUGCCAGGCACAUGAUAUCAGAAAACAAGUUUUCAUGAGGAAUCCUGCCAGAAGUUCUAUCAGGCUGACCUGGAGGUCCUUUGCUGAAGACACCGAAGAAUGCAGGAAACACAUAGACGACGGGACGAUGGAGAAGACGGAAGGUGAGAGCUUGUCUUUUUGGGGGCGGUGCCGUUGUGAGGGAGACAGCCG